RNAcentral lists this ribosomal RNA (459 nucleotides) under uncultured bacterium. RNAcentral describes it as "partial 16S ribosomal RNA". It matches the Rfam family "Bacterial small subunit ribosomal RNA", at positions 338 to 795 of the family's 1533-position model. The record is from RNAcentral.
CCUACGGGUGGCAGCAGUGAGGAAUAUUGGUCAAUGGGCGCGAGCCUGAACCAGCCAAGUCGCGUGAGGGAAGACGGUCCUAUGGAUUGUAAACCUCUUUUGUCGGGGAGCAAAAGACGCCACGCGUGGCGUUCCGAGAGUACCCGAAGAAAAAGCAUCGGCUAACUCCGUGCCAGCGGCCGCGGUAAUACGGAGGAUGCGAGCGUUAUCCGGAUUUAUGGGGUUAAAGGGGUGCGCAGGCGGAAGGUCAAGUCAGCGGUAAAAUUGAGAGGCUCAACCUCUUCGAGCCGUUGAAACUGGUUUUCUUGAGUGAGCGAGAAGUAUGCGGAAUGCGUGGUGUAGCGGUGAAAUGCAUAGAUAUCACGCAGAACUCCGAUUGCGAAGGCAGCAUACCGGCGCUCAACUGACGCUCAUGCACGAAAGUGUGGGUAUCGAACAGGAUUAGAUACCCUAGUAGUC